CCCAGAUGGGUCUGCGAAUGGCUCAUUAAAUUCAGCAAUCAUCCAGCCGACCGAAGUGAUCCACGGGGAGUGGCUACUGCCAACCUCCCCUUGCCAAGUGGAUAACCCUUCUAACUGGAUGGCUAAUACGUGCAAGAAACAGCAACCGUCAGCCCAUUGUUGUUGGACGAGCAGCCAGUGGUCGUGAGGUACCGAGGGGAAGUUGUUCUUGCAGCUGCACCCAUGGUUGCCUUGCUGUACUGCUGUCUAGCAGCCGUUUCCAGACUGGGAUCAGCCUUUGGUCAGUCUCUUCCAGGCCCUCGGGUCUGUGUUGUUGACUGCAAAGCAUGAUGGUUGGGCGGUGGACCGUACACCAAGACAGGCGCCAGUCCAAUGGCACUCAUACUGCACUGCUGACUCAGGUCCACCGUGUUCAUGAAGCAUGCCGGCGAAAGCAGAGUGGUCCGUAGCAAGACUGCUGCGACGUCGGAUGAAUUUCUGCCCUAUCAGCUGAGGAUUGUGGUGCAGUGGACCACAAUGGCUUUCACGGGUAACGGGGAAUCAGGGUUCGAUUCCGGAGAGGGAGCCUGAGAAACGGCUACCACUGCUAAGGCAGGCAGCAGGCACGUAAAUUGCCCAUUGUGAACACAAUUCAUGAGGCAGCGAGCGAGGAAUGGCAGCGCUGCCAGUCCUCCGUGAUUGGGUGGCGUUAGCAAUGGAUGCAUUACUUAAACUCCGCAGUGAGUAUCGACUGGAGGGUAAGUCUGGUGCCAGCAGCCGCGGUAAUUCCAGCUCCAGUAGCCUAUACUAAUAUUGCUGCUGUUAAAAAGCUCGUAGUUGAAUGCAGAGUCAGCAGUGCUGUUGGACCAGAAUUUCAUCCUCUUGUCAAUGGCUCGUGCACCCGUUCGUCGGGACCGUGCUGUUCUCGAGGUUCUGGACCACCUGGCUUCGUAUCUGAUGGGCACCUGCCUGGAUGUGCAAGGCUUGGUAGACCAGCAGCCCAACUGCCAGCUCACCGUGCAGUGGAAUCGACCCUGUUUCUUGUGUGUCACACAUGGCUCCUUCGGUGGUGUCCAGUGGCAGUGGCCCUAUCGUGUCUGCAAGUGCACAGGGGUACCUUUCAAGCAAGGGCGUCCACUCAUGUUACCAUGAACAAAACAGCGUGUCCAAGGCUAGCGACCUGAUCGCCAGCAUGGUUCAGCAUGGAAUGACAAGGGAUCGACCAGUGUGUGUUGGAUCACUCCCUCUGCCUGGUACUUGAGCACACACAAAUGGACAAUCCGGAACCUGUGUGCCCGUGCCUGGCUGGGCUGUCCUAGGCUGCACCUGGAUACUGGUUCGCCAGUCUGGGUGGUCUGGGUGUCCAACAGGCCGUGGCCAUGGGGUUACUGAACGGAAUCAAGGGGAGCAUUCGGAGGUCUAUGUACUGCAUGGCGAGAGGUGAAAUUCUUAGACCCAUGUGUGACAGACUGCAGCAAAGNGCGUUUCCACCAAGGGUGCGUCUGUCAAUCAAGAACGAGAGUGUGGGGAGCGAAGAUGAUCAGAUACCGUUGUAGUCCAUUACCGUAAACGAUGCCAGCUCGGUGCUGGGCCUGUGUUCUUACCAGAACGGCUAGCUCAGUGCCACCCCCUAUCAACGAGAAAUCCAAGCCUAUGGGUUCAGGGGGGAGUACCGUCGCAAGGCUGAAACUUAAAGGAAUUGACGGAAUGACACCACAAGGUGUGGAGUCUGCGGCUUAAUUUGANCUCAACACGGGGAAUGUUACCAGGUCAGGACGCAGCAAGGAUGGACAGAUUGAGAGCUCUUUCUUGAUUCUUUGGAGGGUGGUGCAUGGCCGUUUCUGGUUGGUGGAGUGAUUUGUCUGGUUGAGUCUGAUAACGAGCGAGAUCUCUGCCUCUUAAUAGCUGCCAGCCUCGUUGCUGUAGGGUGAUGGUGGACUGUCCAGGUACUGGCUCCUCGGAGCUUGGCAUCUGUGUCACCCACUGUACUUCACCCGAGAGUGCUGGUUCACUUCUUCGAGGAGCUAUGUGUGCUCACCAACACAUGCAAGCUAGAGCCGACAGCAGGUCUGUGAUGCCCCUAAAUGUCCUGGGCCGCACGCGCACGACAAUGGUACCACGAACAUGCUAAUGCCUGUGCUUUCUCCAACGGGUCCGGCACCGACAGGUGUGGGUAACCCUCGAAGCUGGUGCCGUGACUGGGAUAGAUGAUUGCAACUAUUUGCCUUGAACGAGGAAUACCUAGUAGGCGUGGUUCAUCAGGCUGCACCGAUUAUGUCCCUGCCAUUUGUACACACCGCCCGUCGUUGCAACCGAUGGCGUCAGGAUAGAGGCCUCAGGAGCCACGUAGCACUCGGCUGCCCAGUUCGCUGGGUACCACAGCUCGGGUCAAUCUGGCCAAUGUUCUCAUGCUAGAGGAUGCAAAA
This 2405-nucleotide ribosomal RNA is filed under the name Dinema platysomum. RNAcentral describes it as "partial small subunit ribosomal RNA". It matches the Rfam family "Eukaryotic small subunit ribosomal RNA". Lineage: Eukaryota; Euglenozoa; Anisonemea; Anisonemida; Anisonematidae. The record is from RNAcentral.